Molecule: non-coding RNA, 77 nt
Filed under: Alphaproteobacteria bacterium
Lineage: Bacteria; Pseudomonadati; Pseudomonadota; Alphaproteobacteria
Source: RNAcentral
AAUAAAUAUAGCGCCGAUUUGAGCAAGCAGCUUGCGGGCGCUUUACAAAUGCAGCUAAAGCGCGGGGCCCGCCCCUC